Chrysemys picta bellii (western painted turtle) is the source of this 1191-nucleotide non-coding RNA. The record is from RefSeq and is a predicted model, not a curated record. NCBI's taxonomy places the organism in Eukaryota, Metazoa, Chordata, Testudines, Emydidae.
CUCCGGUGGAAUUAUUGUCUCUCAUAUGGCAGACCUGGUUUUCAUUCAUGGCCAGUGAAUAACUGAGUAUUAUUGUCCAAUGUAGAAGUUACAGAAUUUAAACUAGGAAGAAGGGAGAAUUUUCCCAUCAUUUCACCCCUUUACAUCUGAACAUGAUGACUUUCUGAAUGACCCGUCCUCGUUCAACCAGAAGAUGUUGGGAGGGAUGUAGGAGUCACUGGGGGAAUUCUCUGGGCUCUGUUAUGAAUCGGGUCAGAGCGGAUGUACAUAGUGAUCUAGUCUGGCUGUAAAAUCUAUGAAUCAACACCAAAUAUGGUGUUAAAUUAAUCCUGAAAAUGGCUGUUCCCCAUCCAGACCCCAGCAAAGGGCUCUCCAAGGAAGGGGGCUGCUCAGGAAGGAAAGAAGGAAGAUGUCCUCCUCUCCCUGGAGGAAUUGGGCUCUGUGUUUGGACAGGAAGGAGGGGAAGGAAAUGGCCACACAAUGGCACCAGAACCGGAACGAUGGCACUAAGAAAUGAAACACAACAGGCUGCUUCUGUGCACAUUGAUUCUGGACAGUGAAGGACCCUGACUCCUGUGCCAUGAAAAGCCAAAACGCUGUUUCUUUCUACGGCAGGGAAGAGCAGGAGAGAAGAGUUGCAAUAACUGCUGCCCGGUUACUGAUCCAUGAACAGCGAAAUCUUCCUGUGUCUGUGGUCUGAGCCAGGAGGUUCGAUUCCAGUGAACCUUCUCUCCUGCAAUGGUGAUGGUCAGACAGAGGGGACGUGGCACCUUCAUCCCUGCCAGGGAGAUAUUGGCUCGGCUCUUCAUGCUGCUGUUGUUAGUCCAUGAAACGUCAAGGAUGGAAUGCAAGGCUGAGUUCACUCACCAACCCCGUGAAAUAUUUCAGUGCCCCAGAGAAAUCCUGCCCCCUGCUAUUGGGAUGCUGGGCUGGAGAUUUGAAUGGAAAAGGGACUGUCUGAAUUGUCACCCUGGGGAAUGAAGAACAAUCUACAGCAAUGUCGUUAACACAAACACACUCUCAUCCUGCUCCAGCCGGAAGGGAAAUGGGCAGGAAUUCUCGCUGUUCAGCCAAGGACACACUUACACUGACGCGCAGCCGUGAGUGUGCUGGGGAAGCUGGUCUGAGCAAACAAUCUGAAGUGACAAUUCAGUGAGAACAGAAUCAUCAUGUAGUAAAACAGCCAUAUAU